AUGGCCCCCGCGGCCGCCGUCAUGAGGCGGGCCCACUUCGCCAACUCCUGCUUGUCGGCCGGCCGGCGGGCGUCUCGCUGGCUCCCCACGCGGCCUCGUCGCGGCGCGUUUCAUGGGGGAUCUGGGGCGCCCAUCAGGGGACGAGUCUGGGCGAAGGCUGGUGGUUCGUUCGAGCAAGAUCGCAUUUGGGCGGGCGCUCCAGCUCGAUUAAAUCGUUGUAGCUGCACAUCCUCUACUGCUUCCUUGCCUGCACGGCCUUGGUCACCUAUGCACGCACGCAUCACCGAGCUGCAGGUAAAUGCAAGCAGGGUGAGAUACAACAAGAAAUCUUAG
Molecule: ribosomal RNA, 333 nt
Filed under: Triticum aestivum (bread wheat)
Lineage: Eukaryota; Viridiplantae; Streptophyta; Magnoliopsida; Poales; Poaceae
Description: partial small subunit ribosomal RNA
Source: RNAcentral